This 448-nucleotide ribosomal RNA is filed under the name alpha proteobacterium E-lthf1.L2p. Its description in RNAcentral is "bacterial SSU rRNA". It matches the Rfam family "Bacterial small subunit ribosomal RNA", at positions 11 to 495 of the family's 1533-position model. Lineage: Bacteria; Pseudomonadati; Pseudomonadota; Alphaproteobacteria. The record is from RNAcentral.
GUUUGAUCCUGGCUCAGAACGAACGCUGGCGGCAGGCCUAACACAUGCAAGUCGUACGAGAAGGUUCUUUCGGGAACUGGAGAGUGGCGCACGGGUGAGUAACGCGUGGGGACCUACCUCUUAGUGGGGGAUAACGGUUGGAAACGACCGCUAAUACCGCAUACGCCCUUCGGGGGAAAGAUUUAUCGCUAAGAGAUGGACCCGCGUUGGAUUAGAUAGUUGGUGAGGUAACGGCUCACCAAGUCAGCGAUCCAUAGCUGGUUUGAGAGGAUGAUCAGCCACACUGGGACUGAGACACGGCCCAGACUCCUACGGGAGGCAGCAGUGGGGAAUAUUGGACAAUGGGCGGAAGCCUGAUCCAGCCAUGCCGCGUGAGUGAAGAAGGCCUUCGGGUUGUAAAGCUCUUUCAGAUGCGAAGAUGAUGACGGUAACAUCAGAAGAAGCCCCG